This 219-nucleotide long non-coding RNA is filed under the name Elaeis guineensis (African oil palm). RNAcentral describes it as "long non-coding RNA (EGUI_LNC012776)". Lineage: Eukaryota; Viridiplantae; Streptophyta; Magnoliopsida; Arecales; Arecaceae. The record is from RNAcentral.
GAGAUUGUAGAACCAUUGAAUAUACCAUUGCGGACGAGAUAAUUCAGUCUUCAAUCGCUCUUGCGAGAUUAGGAGAGUUGGUUAUGCCUGAGUCUAUCCACUCGGAGUGGACAGCUAUCGCGCACAUCAUGAGAUAAGCUGGCUGUGAUAACUGGGACAGCCCACGCACUAAGGUAUUGGCCUAUCGAGGCAAUGAAGUAUGCUGGACAGACCAUACGA